ACUCUCUCUCUCUAAAAAUCAAUUUAAAAAUCUUUAAAUAAAGGAACAGGAAUGUAGAUUUAAGAAGAAUUGAAGUUGUAUGUUUUUCCUAUGAACCAAAGAUGUGACACAGCUUUGGCACAGCUAAAAGGCCGGCCUCAUUUCUCCUCCUGCCUCCGGUCUCCCCCACUUGGAUCGCCUGCCAGAGCCACCUUUCAACACAGUCAGACUCUAAGCAGGCUCCCUCCUGCUCAAAAUCCACCAAGGCUCCUCGUCCCCUCCAGCAGCACUUCCUAAAUUACGACUCAACAUAUUCAUCUAAUAAUUUAAGCCAGCUGCUGGGCAACUGCAUCACCUGGUCAGAGGUGGUCAAUGCUGACAAGAGUCAUAAUAUGGAAGCUUGUUCAUUUGUUCACUCAUGCAUUCCUUUGCUCAUCAUUCACUUGUCUAUUCAAGCAACAUAUAUUGAGCACCUACUAUGUGCCUGCCAGACCCCAUGCUAGGGAUGAAGCACUGAGCAAGAAAUACAAGGCCCUAUUUCAUGGAGCUCACAUUGUAGUGGAGGAAGACAGAAAACAGGCGAGAACACCAGGGAUAAGUGAUGUGAUGGAGAAACAGGGCGAGGUGAGACAGAAUGUCAGAGGCCAGUUAAGACUUGUUAAUAUUGUUAACAGUAAUUUUUCCCAAAUUGAUAUACAAAUUCAGUGCAGCCCCUAUGAAAAUCCCACUGCCUUUUCUGCAGACAUGGAAAAACUGAUUCUAUAAUUCAUCUGGAAUUUCAAGGGACCCCAAAUAGCCAGAACAAUAAUGAAAAAGAACUAAGUUGGAAGACACACACUUUCCAAUUUCAAAGCUUACCAUAGCUACAGUCAUCAAAACAGUGUGGUACUGGCAUCAGGAUAGGCAUAUGGGUUGAUGGAAUAGAAUUGGGUGGCCAGAAAUAAACCAUACAUCAAUGCUUAAUUGAUUUUCAAUAGGCAUUAGAAGAGUAGUCAAUGAGGAAAGAAUACUCUUUCUAACAAAUGGUGCUUGGGCAACUAGAUAUCCGCAUACAAAUGAAUUAAUUUGUACCACUACCUUACACCAUAUACAAAAAUUAACUAAAAAUACAUCAAACACCUAAAUAUAAGAGCUAAUGUUAUAUAACUCAGAAGAAAACUCAAGUGUAAUAAAUCUUCCUAACCUGGAUCAGGUAAUGGUUAUUUAGCUAUGAUACCUAAGCACAAACAACCAAAGAAAAUAUAGAUAAAUAGAUAAAAAUAUAUAAACAUAAAAACAGAUAAAUUUUGAACUUCACCAAAAUUAAUUU
Molecule: long non-coding RNA, 1288 nt
Organism: Myotis brandtii (Brandt's bat)
Lineage: Eukaryota; Metazoa; Chordata; Mammalia; Chiroptera; Vespertilionidae
Exons: 3
Source: RefSeq, a predicted model, not a curated record